RNAcentral lists this ribosomal RNA (471 nucleotides) under uncultured organism. RNAcentral describes it as "partial 16S ribosomal RNA". It matches the Rfam family "Bacterial small subunit ribosomal RNA", at positions 334 to 797 of the family's 1533-position model. The record is from RNAcentral.
CACUCCUACGGGAGGCAGCAGUGGGGAAUAUUGCACAAUGGGCGCAAGCCUGAUGCAGCCAUGCCGCGUGUAUGAAGAAGGCCUUCGGGUUGUAAAGUACUUUCAGCGGGGAGGAAGGCGAUAAGGUUAAUAACCUUGUCGAUUGACGUUACCCGCAGAAGAAGCACCGGCUAACUCCGUGCCAGCAGCCGCGGUAAUACGGAGGGUGCAAGCGUUAAUCGGAAUUACUGGGCGUAAAGCGCACGCAGGCGGUCUGUCAAGUCGGAUGUGAAAUCCCCGGGCUCAACCUGGGAACUGCAUUCGAAACUGGCAGGCUAGAGUCUUGUAGAGGGGGGUAGAAUUCCAGGUGUAGCGGUGAAAUGCGUAGAGAUCUGGAGGAAUACCGGUGGCGAAGGCGGCCCCCUGGACAAAGACUGACGCUCAGGUGCGAAAGCGUGGGGAGCAAACAGGAUUAGAAACCCCUGUAGUCCC